UACGUAGGUGGCAAGCGUUGUCCGGAUUUACUGGGCGUAAAGAGCGCGCAGGCGGUCGUUCAAGUCGCGUGUGAAAGCCCCCGGCUCAACUGGGGAGGGUCACGCGAUACUGAUCGACUCGAAGGCAGGAGAGGGAAGUGGAAUUCCCGGUGUAGUGGUGAAAUGCGCAGAUAUCAGGAAGAACACCAAUGGCGAAAGCAGCUCUCUGGGACGGUACUGACGCUGAGACGCGAAAGCGUGGGGAGCGAACAGG
Molecule: ribosomal RNA, 253 nt
Filed under: uncultured bacterium
Lineage: Bacteria
Description: partial 16S ribosomal RNA
Rfam family: Bacterial small subunit ribosomal RNA
Source: RNAcentral